This 500-nucleotide ribosomal RNA is filed under the name Vibrio sp. PAS33. RNAcentral describes it as "bacterial SSU rRNA". It matches the Rfam family "Bacterial small subunit ribosomal RNA", at positions 592 to 1091 of the family's 1533-position model. Lineage: Bacteria; Pseudomonadati; Pseudomonadota; Gammaproteobacteria; Vibrionales; Vibrionaceae. The record is from RNAcentral.
AUGUGAAAGCCCGGGGCUCAACCUCGGAAUUGCAUUUGAAACUGGCAGACUAGAGUACUGUAGAGGGGGGUAGAAUUUCAGGUGUAGCGGUGAAAUGCGUAGAGAUCUGAAGGAAUACCGGUGGCGAAGGCGGCCCCCUGGACAGAUACUGACACUCAGAUGCGAAAGCGUGGGGAGCAAACAGGAUUAGAUACCCUGGUAGUCCACGCCGUAAACGAUGUCUACUUGGAGGUUGUGGCCUUGAGCCGUGGCUUUCGGAGCUAACGCGUUAAGUAGACCGCCUGGGGAGUACGGUCGCAAGAUUAAAACUCAAAUGAAUUGACGGGGGCCCGCACAAGCGGUGGAGCAUGUGGUUUAAUUCGAUGCAACGCGAAGAACCUUACCUACUCUUGACAUCCAGAGAACUUUCCAGAGAUGGAUUGGUGCCUUCGGGAACUCUGAGACAGGUGCUGCAUGGCUGUCGUCAGCUCGUGUUGUGAAAUGUUGGGUUAAGUCCCGCA